CAGCAAUAUAUAUCAUACUGAUGCCAUGGAAUUUCAAAGUGAUUGUUGCGAAAAGGAUGUUGCAGCUUUGAAAAACACUAACUUUUGACCAGGUUGUGAAACUGAUGAGGCAAGGACUUGUAUCUCUCUCUCUCCUGCUUUCUCAAUGAAACCCCCCCCCACACACACACACACACACACACACAAACUGGUUUAAGUCAGCUCCCCAUCCCUGGUCUGUCCUCGGUAAGGGCCUGUCCCCUAGUCUGUCCACAGUAAGGUCUUCUCCCCAGGUCUGUCCAAAGUAAGGUCCUGUCCCCUAGUCUUUUUUUUUUUUUUACCUUUAUUUUACUAGGCAAGUCAGUUAAGAACAAAUUCUUAUUUUCAAUGACGGCCUAGGAACAAUGGGUUAACUGCCUGUUCAAGGGCAGCACGACAGAUUUGUACCUUGUCAGCUCGGGGGUUUCAACUUGCAACCUUCCAGUUACUAGUCCAACGCUCUAACCACUAGGCUACCCUGGCCAUAGUAAGGUCCUGUCCCCAGGUCUGUCCAUAGUAAGGUCUUCUCCCAAGGUCUGUCCAUAGUAAGAUCCUGUCCCCUGGUAUGUCCAUAGUAAGGUCCUUUCCCCUGGUAUGUCUAUAGUAAGGUCCUGUCCCCUGGUGUGUCCAUAGUAAGGUCUUCUUCCCAGGUCUGUCCAUAGUAAGACCCUGUUCCCUGGUAUGUCCAUAGUAAGGUCCUGUCCCCUGGUGUGUCCAUAGUAAGGUCCUGUCCCCUGGUCUGUCCAUAGUAAAGUCCUGUCCCCUGGUAUGUCCAUAGUAAGGCCCUGUCCCCUGGUGUGUCCAAAGUAAGGUCCUGUCACCUAGUCUGUCCACAGUAAGGUCCUGUC
Long non-coding RNA from Oncorhynchus tshawytscha (Chinook salmon), 866 nucleotides. NCBI's taxonomy places the organism in Eukaryota, Metazoa, Chordata, Actinopteri, Salmoniformes, Salmonidae. The record is from Ensembl.